CAGCAGCCACGGGAAUACCGAGGGUGCAAGCGUUAAUCGGAAUUACUGGGCGUAAAGCGCGCGUAGGUGGUUUGUUAAGUUGGAUGUGAAAGCCCCGGGCUCAACCUGGGAACUGCAUCCAAAACUGGCAAGCUAGAGUACGGUAGAGGGUGGUGGAAUUUCCUGUGUAGCGGUGAAAUGCGUAGAUAUAGGAAGGAACACCAGUGGCGAAGGCGACCACCUGGACUGAUACUGACACUGAGGUGCGAAAGCGUGGGGAGCAAACAGGAUUAGAUACCCCCGUAGUCCCUGUCUCUUAUAA
Molecule: ribosomal RNA, 301 nt
Filed under: uncultured bacterium
Lineage: Bacteria
Description: partial 16S ribosomal RNA
Rfam family: Bacterial small subunit ribosomal RNA
Source: RNAcentral